AUUGUGCACAUCAUAUCAGAUUUUCAUAACGAUUAAUCGAUCCAAGUAGUGCCAAUUGGGUUUUCUACAUGGAUUCCUGCAGGCAUAGGGUUGUUUAUGUUGAUGUUCACUUUUAUCGUGAUUAUCAUACUCCUACCUGGGUAACUCAUAAAAUUCAGCUGCUUCAACUGUUCCCAUGAGAUCAUAGAAUUUUGCAGUGUAGGAAAUCACCAUAGUUGAAGAAUUCUGAAGAGGUACAAAAAUAACCAAGGACAACACUGAUGUGUUUGGUUUACUAGAGAAAUUGUGAAGAGAGAAAUAAGUGAGAGAGAGUUUAAGAAGAGAGAAAUAUGAUAGAUUUGAUGAGUUGUUUGGUAUAAGAGAGAAAGAUGAGAAAUACAAAAGAGAUGAAUAUAUUACUUUUUUGGAUUGACAAAUAAGCCCCUUACUUAAAAAUAUAUUUAGUUUAAACUUAAAUUUAAUUUUUCUGUUAAAAUUUGUUUCAUGUCACGUUAAUUAACAACUUGUCAUUGUUGUUACCGGCAACCAUGAGUCUUUUUUCAUGAAGAAAAAAAAACAAGAGACAAUCAUUUUUAUUUUCUAAAAAAAAUAUAUUUAAAUUGUGUUUCUUUUUUUUAGCAAUAAAUUGUGUUUCCUUGGUACAAUUAAUCAUAAAGAAAAUUACUUUUUUAGAGAUAAAAAAAAUUGUAUUCGUAUUAAUUAAGAUUUAGAGGUAAAAAAAAUUGUUAUUCGUAUUAAUUAAAAAACAAAUAUGAAGUAUAUGAACUAAAAACUUGUCAAAAAAAGAAUAUGAACUAAUUGUUGCUAGUAAAACGUGGUAACAAUUAAAACGUAGCACUUUCCCUCGAAAAAUAUUAAAACGUAGUAUGUGACUCCUUGCAUUAGACAAACUGGUACAGUGUUAACGUACGUGUGUGUAACAAUAAUUUACAAAUGAAAAAUAAAAACUAAAGCGAGGGUAGAAACGUAAUUGUUGUGAACAGUCAAUACUCUCUCCUCAUUUCUUCUCAAUCCAGCCAAGAGAGUAAAAAGUGGGAAUUUGGUCUCUCUUAUUUCUCUCUCUUUAAUCUCUCUUCUUCACCAAACACAAGAAAAACUCCAUCUCUUCUCUAUAUCUCUCUUUUCUCUAUCUCUCUUUCUUAUUUCUCUUCAACCAAACAGAGUGUAAGGGGUGACCUUCAGGAGAGUCAAGUUUCAGAGAAAAAAUAAGCUAGAAUGAUAGAAGAUAGUUCUUGGAACAUCUUGAGAGAAUUUUCAGAAAAGUGAUUCAUUCAAACAAGUAUUUCAUAGAUCAUAACACUGAAUUGAAACCAAACUGUAUAAAAGCUAGACUAAAAAAUUAAGCCAGACGUAAAUGCUAAAAAGUUUAAUAGCCCAUAUAAAUUGCGGUGGGGAUGUAUUGAACAAAAGAAAAUUGAAGCAAAACAAGGAAAUCAUCUCAAUUUGAUUUUGUCAUGAAACGUGAUAACGAGGAACAUUGGCACAUUCAUCACUCAUCAGCCCCUAAAGUUGCAUCAUAAUGUUUUGAUAUAACAAUCUUAU
Molecule: long non-coding RNA, 1542 nt
Filed under: Medicago truncatula (barrel medic)
Lineage: Eukaryota; Viridiplantae; Streptophyta; Magnoliopsida; Fabales; Fabaceae
Description: long non-coding RNA (MTRU_LNC005740)
Source: RNAcentral